AACAUUGCCUGCAAGAAAGCUGAUAUCGACAUGAACAAGAGGUUAGCCCCUUUAAUCUGGCAGUUGUUUAGCUCUUACUGAAGAUUCCUCAAGUGAAUGUCCAUUUGCACUGGCGUUUCUAUUUUCCCCUUUUAGCUUAUUGCAUUGUUAAAGAUUUCACCUUUUUAUACUAUUGAUUUGACAAAGAAAUAUUAGUUUUGUUUGCUGGUUUUUAGAUGUAUGCUGCGUUUUAACUUUUCAAAGAUUUAUUGGUGUUAUAUUUUGUAAUUGUUUUUGUCUUGCAUUAUUGAGUCACAAGAUUGAAUUAGAUGCAAAUAUGUCCCUUCCACUGCCUUGAGUGAAACAUUAACCAGAAAUUUAAAUUAAGUUAGUCAUGAAUAAAGAUGAUAGAAUAUAUUUUGCCUAGAGCCUGAUGGCUCUUUGUUUUUUCUUUGGGACCGAGAGUAAUUAUCUAAGUGUUGUAGAACAGAAUGGCUCUUUUAGCAUGGAAUCUGAACUAGUAUCUUUAAUUGAUUUUUAUCUCUCUAGUAUAUGGCAUGUGCAACAUCUUUAAGACAUUUUUAACAGUGUCAAGCAGGGAAAAUUUCCAUCCCCCUUUUCUUGCUAGCAAACAGUCUUAUUUGUUGUUACCUAUCCAAUGAAAUUUUGGCCAAGGAUUAAAGAUUCUCUUUCAGCUUGCUUUAGAAUUUUCAGUGUUUUGUUCUUUGAGAUUUUUGUGAAGGUUGAUUUCAUCUGUAGUUUGUUGGGCAUGAUAUGAGGGUAAAACAGGAGUUAAUAAUCCUAUAUAUAUUUUUACUGCUUUAUAUUUAAUUCUUCAAAAUUACCUGAGUUUGCUUUUAUGCUCUGUUCUGUAGGGCGGGAGAACUUACUGCUGCAGAGCUUGACAGUGUGAUGGUGGUUGUUGCAAAUCCCCGUCAAUUCA
This 922-nucleotide long non-coding RNA is filed under the name Nicotiana benthamiana. RNAcentral's name for it is "long non-coding RNA (NBEN_LNC002570)". Lineage: Eukaryota; Viridiplantae; Streptophyta; Magnoliopsida; Solanales; Solanaceae. The record is from RNAcentral.